CACCGCGGUUAUACGAGGGGCCCAAGUUGAGAAAUAACGGCGUAAAAAGUGGCUAAGGAAAAACUAAACUAAGGCCAAAUAUUUUCAAGGCUGUUAUACGCAACCGAAAACAAGAGGUCCAACAACGAAAGUAGCCUUAAUAUACCCGAACCCACGAAAUCUAGGGCA
RNAcentral lists this ribosomal RNA (168 nucleotides) under Badis sp. CBM:ZF:14808. RNAcentral describes it as "partial 12S rRNA". The record is from RNAcentral. Lineage: Eukaryota; Metazoa; Chordata; Actinopteri; Anabantiformes; Badidae.